Molecule: ribosomal RNA, 253 nt
Filed under: uncultured bacterium
Lineage: Bacteria
Description: partial 16S ribosomal RNA
Rfam family: Bacterial small subunit ribosomal RNA
Source: RNAcentral
UACGUAGGGUGCGAGCGUUGCCCGGAUUUAUUGGGCGUAAAGAGCUCGUAGGCGGCUUGUUGCGUCGACUGUGAAAACCCGCGGCUUAACCGCGGGCUUGCAGUUGAUACGGGCAGGCUAGAGUUCGGUAGGGGAGACUGGAAUUCCUGGUGUAGCGGUGAAAUGCGUAGAGAUCGGGAAGAACAUCGGUGGCGAAGGCGCUCUACUGGACCACAACUGACACUCAGGGACGAAAGCUAGGGGAGCGAAUGGG